AGCUGAUCAUUGGGUGUAAAGCGUGCGCAGGCGGUUUUGUAAGACAGAGGUGAAAUCCCCGGGCUCAACCUGGGAACUGCCUUUGUGACUGCAAGGCUGGAGUGCGGCAGAGGGGGAUGGAAUUCCGCGUGUAGCAGUGAAAUGCGUAGAUAUGCGGAGGAACACCGAUGGCGAAGGCAAUCCCCUGGGCCUGCACUGACGCUCAUGCAUGAAAGCGUGGGGAGCAAACA
Molecule: ribosomal RNA, 230 nt
Filed under: uncultured Alicycliphilus sp.
Lineage: Bacteria; Pseudomonadati; Pseudomonadota; Betaproteobacteria; Burkholderiales; Comamonadaceae
Description: partial 16S ribosomal RNA
Rfam family: Bacterial small subunit ribosomal RNA
Source: RNAcentral